AAGCCAUGCGAGUUAAAUGUUCUUCGUGAACAUAGCAGACUGCUCAGUAACACGUGGAUAACCUGCCCUUAGGACUGGCAUAACCCCGGGAAACUGGGGAUAAUUCCGGAUAGAUCAUAAAUGCUGGAAUGCUUUAUGAUUGAAAGGUUUCGACCGCCUUAGGAUGGAUCUGCGGCCUAUCAGGUUGUAGUGGGUGUAAUGUACCUACUAGCCUACGACGGGUACGGGUUGUGGAAGCAAGAGCCCGGAGAUGGAUUCUGAGACAUGAAUCCAGGCCCUACGGGGCGCAGCAGGCGCGAAAACUUUACAAUGCGGGAAACCGUGAUAAGGGAACACUGAGUGCUAGCAUUUAUGUUAGCUGUCCACAUGUGUAAAUAGCAUGUGAUAGCAAGGGCUGGGCAAGACCGGUGCCAGCCGCCGCGGUAACACCGGCAGCCCGAGUGGUGAUCACUAUUAUUGGGUCUAAAGGGUCCGUAGCCGGUUUAAUCAGUCUUCUGGGAAAUCUAAUCGCUUAACUAUUAGGCUUCCAGGGGAUACUGUUAGACUUGGGACCGGGAGAGGUAAGAGGUACUGCAGGGGUAGGAGUGAAAUCUUGUAAUCCCUGUGAGACCACCAGUGGCGAAGGCGUCUUACCAGAACGGGUCCGACGGUGAGGGACGAAAGCUGGGGGCACGAACCGGAUUAGAUACCCGGGUAGUCCCAGCUGUAAACGAUGCUCGUUAGGUGUCAGGAACGGUGCGACUGUUUCUGGUGCCGAAGGGAAGCCGUGAAACGAGCCA
Molecule: ribosomal RNA, 779 nt
Filed under: uncultured archaeon
Lineage: Archaea
Description: bacterial SSU rRNA
Rfam family: Archaeal small subunit ribosomal RNA
Source: RNAcentral